GGCUGACUAGUUGCUCAUGAGUACUCAUGACAUGGUCUCAUAGUAUGAGAUAAAAGCCUCUUCAAAGUCACUAAUGGCCCAUUAAUCAUGCUGUUUGCAAGAGGUUGCGGCAGAUAAGUACAUUGUAGAAAUGUUUUUGUAGUGGCAUGGAAAAGGCAUUGCAUUCUUUUCUUCCCCUUUUGAUUAAAAGAAUAUUUGAAAGCAAUUGGAGUAUUGGACAUUGCUGGUGAGCCAGAAGGACACCUUUACCAAUUACCACCACCCAAAAUGAGCUUCUUUUUUUUGUAAGUAGCCUUUAUUCCUUCUUCCCCUCUUGAUGAAUGCUUCCCUUCUGUUCUUUUAGACCUCCUCCUGCUGCUGCAGCAGCAGCAAUGGCGUGAAACUUCGCGGCAACGGCACUGCACGGCCACCGAAUCUGAUCACUGAACAGUGCCAGUGAGCUGCAUAGUAGCUUGGUGAUCUUGCUUGUUCACCUUUUAUCAUCUCAACGAAUCUGAGCAGAAGUGCUUUCUGAGUUACUGUCAUGCAUCCUAUCCUCAGGUUAAAUAAAAGGGAGAUCGCAUGAUGAUUCUUGUUUGUGCCGGUAGAAAGUUGUUCGUUUAAUUUCCAAGAUUUGUAGGUGGUGAAGUGUGAACCAAGGCCACCGCAAUUUCGGUCCUAGCCGUUGGCAUGCAUGUAACUAUAUGUAACAAACUAUCAAUGUGCUUUUGCUCAUAUU
Molecule: small RNA, 718 nt
Filed under: Oryza sativa Japonica Group (Japanese rice)
Lineage: Eukaryota; Viridiplantae; Streptophyta; Magnoliopsida; Poales; Poaceae
Description: sRNA Os01g0112050
Source: RNAcentral